This 1017-nucleotide long non-coding RNA is filed under the name Gossypium barbadense (sea-island cotton). RNAcentral describes it as "long non-coding RNA (GBAR_LNC005148)". The record is from RNAcentral. Lineage: Eukaryota; Viridiplantae; Streptophyta; Magnoliopsida; Malvales; Malvaceae.
ACGGAUCAUUUUUAUCAAAUUAUUGAUUUAAAAACACACUUAUCUUUUUUAAUCAAAGAUAACAUCUCAUUGAAGGAAACAAGGAUUACGAGCAAACUGGGUUAAAAUCUUGUACAAGGCAAUGUUCAAGAAGUUAUUUAUUCCAAGGUUGAAACGAGAGAUUAAGAGCCAUCUAAGCUGAUCAGAUCUCAUUGCCAAUUAUGAGGGUGAGAGGAGACUCACACUGAUAAUCUUAGCUGGCAGACUAUUAGGGUGAGCAAAGAUGCCCUGAUGUGUAGCCGCCUAGCCAAUCCCUGCUUGCCUAGCAAGGGAUAUGUCAUUGCUUGCAUAACAAAAAAGUGAAGGAACUUAGGGGGGAGAGGCUAGUGCUUUCUUAUCUUAUGAUUUUAAUAUUACGGGGUUAUUGAACGUUUGUAUUAGAUUAAAGUUGUCAAUGCUUUUUUUUUUCAUAAAAAAAUCAUAACCGUUCAAUUUUUCAAACCAAUUUUUUGUUUCAUUCGCUACCUUCAAGUCUACGUUAUCAUAGUUUUUGUUCAUAUUUUUUUUUGUUUUUGUUUUGUGUAUUCUAUUUUUUCUAAAAUUAGUGGUGAUUUUAGUUUUUUUAGUUAUAUUCUAAUGUAUAUGUAAGAUUUGUAAAAAUAAGGGUGUUAUUAGAUCUAUUAAAAAUCGUUCUCGAAUGACUUAAUUAUGAUAGAGUAUAAUAAUGAUAUUUACAGAAUGGAAUUUGAGAUGAUGAUGAGGAGGAUAAAUUAUCUUAGACUUACCUUUUGUGCGUUAUUGAUGUUGUGGGUCUCUUGGGGCUAUUGGUAGUGGUUUAUUGGUUAACUAGAAUUCAUCGUUAAGUUGGUUUGAUAAUGACGAGGCUAGUAUGUAAUUUUUAAUGGUUUGGCCAAUGUGAUGCCUCUUUGGUUUGUUUAUGAAUUCAUCAGUGUCGCAAUUAUUGUCAAUUUGUUUUUCUCUUUCUUUUGGGAUUUUUUGUUAUGUGCCAUGUUUUUGUAUUCUUAUUAUUAAUGCUAG